UACGGAGGGUGCGAGCGUUAAUCGGAAUUACUGGGCGUAAAGCGCGCGUAGGCGGUUUGGUAAGCUGGAUGUGAAAGCCCUGGGCUCAACCUGGGAACUGCAUCCAGAACUGCCAAGCUAGAGUAUGGUAGAGGGCAGUGGAAUUUCCGGUGUAGCGGUGAAAUGCGUAGAGAUCGGAGGGAACACCAGUGGCGAAGGCGACUACGCGUACGUCGAAUACUGACACUGAGGUGCGAAAGCGUGGGGAGCAAACAGGAUUAGAUACCCCGGUAGU
RNAcentral lists this ribosomal RNA (274 nucleotides) under uncultured bacterium. RNAcentral describes it as "partial 16S ribosomal RNA". It matches the Rfam family "Bacterial small subunit ribosomal RNA", at positions 524 to 794 of the family's 1533-position model. The record is from RNAcentral.